AUGGGGAAAGAGAUGCAGAGAGUACUGGAGUUCUACAGUGGAAUUGGCGGCAUGAGAUACUCGCUGAUGAAAGCUCAAGUAGAAGCGCAAGUGAUCGAAGCAUUUGAAAUCAAUAACAUUGCAAAUGAUGUUUACCAACAUAACUUUUCUCAUCGUCCUUAUCAGGGAAAUAUUCAAAGCCUAAUUGCUGCUGAUCUAGACAAAUAUGGUGCCCACACAUGGCUCCUUUCUCCUCCCUGUCAACCUUACACACGACAAAGUCUCUAG
Vicia faba (fava bean) is the source of this 267-nucleotide non-coding RNA. NCBI's taxonomy places the organism in Eukaryota, Viridiplantae, Streptophyta, Magnoliopsida, Fabales, Fabaceae. The record is from the annotation of a GenBank genome assembly.